CCUACGGGUGACAGCAGUGAGGAAUAUUGGUCAAUGGCCGUAAGGCUGAACCAGCCAAGUAGCGUGAAGGAUGACGGCCCUAUGGGUUGUAAACUUCUUUUAUAGGGGAAUAAAACGUGCCACGUGUGCCUUUUGGCAUGUACUUUAUGAAUAAGGAACGGCUAACGCCGUGCCAGCAGCCGCGGGAAUACGGAGGAUCCGAGCGUUAUCCGGAUUGAUUGGGUGUAAAGGGAGCGUAGAUGGGUUGUUAAGUCAGUUGUGAAAGUGUGCGGCUCAACCGUAAAAUUGCAAUUGAUACUGGCAGUCUUGAGUACAGUUGAGUUAGGCGGAAUUCGUGGUGUAGCGGU
This 347-nucleotide ribosomal RNA is filed under the name uncultured bacterium. RNAcentral's name for it is "partial 16S ribosomal RNA". It matches the Rfam family "Bacterial small subunit ribosomal RNA", at positions 338 to 682 of the family's 1533-position model. The record is from RNAcentral.